GCGGGUGGGAGGGUAAAUAAUUUCAACGAAAAAUUUCAAAUGUACCGCAAAUCCCGAAACAAAGAAAUAUAUAAGAGCGUCCUGUAUCCAGGUACCAAAUUGACCAAUCAAAAUAAGGAAUAACUUCUUCCGAGUAAAUGUAAACAGUGAUUCACGUGGUAAUUAUCCAUUUUUAUAAAAUCAAAAAUUACACUAUACAUUGAGUCCUAAUUUGCGGGCCCAGGACAAUAUUAGUAUUUUUCCAGCACCGUCUUAUAUUUAAUUUUUUUUAGUCUUGUUUUGACCCGGUUAAAUAUUAAGUAGAAAU
RNAcentral lists this long non-coding RNA (307 nucleotides) under Mytilus galloprovincialis (Mediterranean mussel). Lineage: Eukaryota; Metazoa; Mollusca; Bivalvia; Mytilida; Mytilidae. The record is from RNAcentral.